CCUACGGGCGGCAGCAGUGAGGAAUAUUGGUCAAUGGGCUUACGCCUGAACCAGCCAAGUCGCGUGAGGGAAGACUGCCCUAUGGGUUGUAAACCUCUUUUGUCAGGGAGCAACGCCGGCUACGUGUAGCCGGACUGAGAGUACCUGAAGAAAAAGCAGCGGCUAACUCCGUGCCAGCAGCCGCGGUAAUACGGGGGAUGCGAGCGUUAUCCGGAUUUAUUGGGUUUAAAGGGUGCGUAGGCGGAAUGCCAAGUCAGCGGUAAAAUCGCGGGGCUAACCCUCGCUCCGCCGUUGAAACUGGCGUGCUUGAGUGGGCGAGAAGUAUGCGGAAUGCGUGGUGUAGCGGUGAAAUGCAUAGAUAUCACGCAGAACUCCGAUUGCGAAGGCAGCAUACCGGCGCCCAACUGACGCUGAAGCACGAAAGCGUGGGUAUCGAACAGGAUUAGAUACCCCAGUAGUC
This 460-nucleotide ribosomal RNA is filed under the name uncultured bacterium. RNAcentral's name for it is "partial 16S ribosomal RNA". It matches the Rfam family "Bacterial small subunit ribosomal RNA", at positions 338 to 795 of the family's 1533-position model. The record is from RNAcentral.